GACACUGUGGCGGAGUGGUUAACGCGGUGCCCUGCUAAGGCAUUGCCUUCGGCGCGCAGGUUCGAAUCCUGCCGGUGUCG
Molecule: transfer RNA, 80 nt
Filed under: Coccidioides immitis RMSCC 3703
Lineage: Eukaryota; Fungi; Ascomycota; Eurotiomycetes; Onygenales; Onygenaceae
Description: tRNA-Ser (GCT) (tRNA-Ser-GCT-2-1)
Rfam family: tRNA
About the family: Transfer RNA (tRNA) molecules are approximately 80 nucleotides in length. Their secondary structure includes four short double-helical elements and three loops (D, anti-codon, and T loops). Further hydrogen bonds mediate the characteristic L-shaped molecular structure. tRNAs have two regions of fundamental functional importance: the anti-codon, which is responsible for specific mRNA codon recognition, and the 3' end, to which the tRNAs corresponding amino acid is attached (by aminoacyl-tRNA synthetases). tRNAs cope with the degeneracy of the genetic code in two manners: having more than one tRNA (with a specific anti-codon) for a particular amino acid; and 'wobble' base-pairing, i.e. permitting non-standard base-pairing at the 3rd anti-codon position.
Source: RNAcentral